This is a long non-coding RNA of Gossypium arboreum, 555 nucleotides long. RefSeq lists it as uncharacterized. The transcript has 3 exons. The record is from RefSeq and is a predicted model, not a curated record. Lineage: Eukaryota; Viridiplantae; Streptophyta; Magnoliopsida; Malvales; Malvaceae.
GACAAAUGAUAAAAGCUAUCAUUUUUUUUCAUUCUUUCUUCUUCAACCGUGGGAAAGAACAGAAAAUAGCAGCCAUGGAUGAGCUCCAUUCGGCCAAGCUUUUAUGGCUUAUAUAGAUGAUGAAAAUUGAGACUUGGACCUAGAACGGAAAGAAAUCGAUUUAUGGACGAGUAUGUCCUUUUCACAUUUGUGGUAUCGAGAGUUCCAGGUUAGCUCGGGUUGGAGGCCGUCAGAGAUAUUAUCACCCUAUCGAGUUAACGUUAUCGGAGUAAGUAAACUCAAGUGAUUCGAGUCUAUGGCAUGUAUAGGGUUUUAAUGUGAGUAUGUAAUAUUAUGAUUUAGCCAAAGGCAUUGGCUUGUUAUUAAGGUAGUAUUAGUCAUGUAAAUUGGCCUAUGUCGGCUAAUGACGUUAUGGGCCCAUAUGAUUAUUCUUAUGCAUUUAUGUUAUUAUUUCUUGUGAUGUGGCUUACAACAUGUAUGCCUAGAGAUUGAAUUGAGAUUCAUUGAUGAGCUAGUAACUAAUGCAGGAUUAAGUGAUUGGUAAAUAGUUAAUAA